This 72-nucleotide transfer RNA is filed under the name Polaribacter irgensii. It matches the Rfam family "tRNA". From Rfam's summary of the family: Transfer RNA (tRNA) molecules are approximately 80 nucleotides in length. Their secondary structure includes four short double-helical elements and three loops (D, anti-codon, and T loops). Further hydrogen bonds mediate the characteristic L-shaped molecular structure. tRNAs have two regions of fundamental functional importance: the anti-codon, which is responsible for specific mRNA codon recognition, and the 3' end, to which the tRNAs corresponding amino acid is attached (by aminoacyl-tRNA synthetases). tRNAs cope with the degeneracy of the genetic code in two manners: having more than one tRNA (with a specific anti-codon) for a particular amino acid; and 'wobble' base-pairing, i.e. permitting non-standard base-pairing at the 3rd anti-codon position. RNAcentral also lists the same sequence under 4 other names. Lineage: Bacteria; Pseudomonadati; Bacteroidota; Flavobacteriia; Flavobacteriales; Flavobacteriaceae. The record is from RNAcentral.
GGGGAUUAGCUCAGUUGGCUAGAGCGCUUGCCUUGCACGCAAGAGGUCAUCGGUUCGACUCCGAUAUUCUCC